GACGAACGCUGGCGGCGUGCUUAACACAUGCAGGUCGAACGGAAAGGCCCUGCUUUUGUGGGGUGCUCGAGUGGCGAACGGGUGAGUAACACGUGAGUAACCUGCCCUUGACUUUGGGAUAACUUCAGGAAACUGGGGCUAAUACCGGAUAGGAGCUCCUGCUGCAUGGUGGGGGUUGGAAAGUUUCGGCGGUUGGGGAUGGACUCGCGGCUUAUCAGCUUGUUGGUGGGGUAGUGGCUUACCAAGGCUUUGACGGGUAGCCGGCCUGAGAGGGUGACCGGCCACAUUGGGACUGAGAUACGGCCCAGACUCCUACGGGAGGCAGCAGUGGAGAAUAUUGCACAAUGGGCGGAAGCCUGAUGCAGCAACGCCGCGUGCGGGAUGACGGCCUUCGGAUUGUAAACCGCUUUCGCCUGUGACGAAGCGUGAGUGACGGUAAUGGGUAAAGAAGCACCGGCUAACUACGUG
RNAcentral lists this ribosomal RNA (468 nucleotides) under uncultured bacterium. RNAcentral's name for it is "partial 16S ribosomal RNA". It matches the Rfam family "Bacterial small subunit ribosomal RNA", at positions 28 to 507 of the family's 1533-position model. The record is from RNAcentral.